UACGGAGGGGGCGAGCGUUGUUCGGAAUUAUUGGGCGUAAAGAGUAUGUAGGUGGCUGAAUCAGUCAGGCGUGUAAGCCCACGGCUCAACCGUGGAAUUGCGUUUGAUACUAUUUAGCUUGAGUUCGGGAGAGGAAAGCGGAAUUCCCAGUGUAGCGGUGAAAUGCAUUGAUAUUGGGAAGAACAUCUGUGGCGAAGGCGGCUUUCUGGUCCGAUACUGACACUGAGAUACGAAAGCCAGGGGAGCGAACGGG
RNAcentral lists this ribosomal RNA (253 nucleotides) under uncultured bacterium. RNAcentral describes it as "partial 16S ribosomal RNA". It matches the Rfam family "Bacterial small subunit ribosomal RNA", at positions 524 to 776 of the family's 1533-position model. The record is from RNAcentral.